Transfer RNA from Caldisphaera lagunensis DSM 15908, 75 nucleotides. It matches the Rfam family "tRNA". Rfam says of the family: Transfer RNA (tRNA) molecules are approximately 80 nucleotides in length. Their secondary structure includes four short double-helical elements and three loops (D, anti-codon, and T loops). Further hydrogen bonds mediate the characteristic L-shaped molecular structure. tRNAs have two regions of fundamental functional importance: the anti-codon, which is responsible for specific mRNA codon recognition, and the 3' end, to which the tRNAs corresponding amino acid is attached (by aminoacyl-tRNA synthetases). tRNAs cope with the degeneracy of the genetic code in two manners: having more than one tRNA (with a specific anti-codon) for a particular amino acid; and 'wobble' base-pairing, i.e. permitting non-standard base-pairing at the 3rd anti-codon position. Lineage: Archaea; Thermoproteati; Thermoproteota; Thermoprotei; Acidilobales; Acidilobaceae. The record is from Rfam.
GGGCCCGUAGCUCAGCCAGGAUAGAGUGUCAGCCUCCGGAGCUGAAGGGCGCGGGUUCAAAUCCCGCCGGGCCCA